GGAAUAUUGGACAAUGGGCGCAAGCCUGAUCCAGCCAUGCCGCGUGAGUGAAGAAGGCCUUCGGGUUGUAAAGCUCUUUUGUCCGGAAAGAAAAGCUUUCGGUUAAUACCCGGAAGUUCUGACGGUACCGGAAGAAAAAGCACCGGCUAACUCUGUGCCAGCAGCCGCGGUAAUACAGAGGGUGCGAGCGUUAAUCGGAAUUACUGGGCGUAAAGCGUGCGUAGGCGGUCUCGUGUGUCGGGUGUGAAAGCCCCGGGCUCAACCUGGGAAUGGCAUCCGAAACUGCGAGGCUAGAGUGCGGAAGAGGGAAGUGGAAUUUCCGGUGUAGCGGUGAAAUGCGUAGAUAUCGGAAGGAACACCAGUGGCGAAAGCGACUUCCUGGUCCAGCACUGACGCUCAGGCACGAAAGCGUGGGGAGC
RNAcentral lists this ribosomal RNA (419 nucleotides) under uncultured bacterium. RNAcentral describes it as "bacterial SSU rRNA". It matches the Rfam family "Bacterial small subunit ribosomal RNA", at positions 358 to 769 of the family's 1533-position model. The record is from RNAcentral.